GGAAUUGUGGCUCAGUGGUAGAGUGCUUGCCUAGCAUGCAUGAGGCACUGGGUUCGAUCCCCAGCACCA
Molecule: transfer RNA, 69 nt
Filed under: Marmota monax (woodchuck)
Lineage: Eukaryota; Metazoa; Chordata; Mammalia; Rodentia; Sciuridae
Rfam family: tRNA
About the family: Transfer RNA (tRNA) molecules are approximately 80 nucleotides in length. Their secondary structure includes four short double-helical elements and three loops (D, anti-codon, and T loops). Further hydrogen bonds mediate the characteristic L-shaped molecular structure. tRNAs have two regions of fundamental functional importance: the anti-codon, which is responsible for specific mRNA codon recognition, and the 3' end, to which the tRNAs corresponding amino acid is attached (by aminoacyl-tRNA synthetases). tRNAs cope with the degeneracy of the genetic code in two manners: having more than one tRNA (with a specific anti-codon) for a particular amino acid; and 'wobble' base-pairing, i.e. permitting non-standard base-pairing at the 3rd anti-codon position.
Source: Rfam by way of RNAcentral